This 487-nucleotide ribosomal RNA is filed under the name uncultured bacterium. RNAcentral describes it as "bacterial SSU rRNA". It matches the Rfam family "Bacterial small subunit ribosomal RNA", at positions 15 to 518 of the family's 1533-position model. The record is from RNAcentral.
GAUUAUGGCUCAGGACGAACGCUGGCGGCGUGCCUAACACAUGCAAGUCGAGCGAUGAAAUCCUUCGGGAUGGAUUAGCGGCGGACGGGUGAGUAACACGUGGGUAACCUGCCUUGUAGAGGGGGAUAGCCUUCCGAAAGGAAGAUUAAUACCGCAUAAUAUCUUUUUAUCGCAUGGUAGAAAGAUCAAAGGAGCAAUCCGCUACAAGAUGGACCCGCGGCGCAUUAGCUAGUUGGUGAGGUAACGGCUCACCAAGGCGACGAUGCGUAGCCGACCUGAGAGGGUGAUCGGCCACAUUGGAACUGAGACACGGUCCAGACUCCUACGGGAGGCAGCAGUGGGGAAUAUUGCGCAAGUACGGGGGAAACCCUGACGCAGCAACGCCGCGUGAAUGAAGAAGGCCUUAGGGUUGUAAAGUUCUGUUUACGGGGACGAUAAUGACGGUACCCGUGGAGGAAGCCACGGCUAACUACGUGCCAGCCGCCGC